This 261-nucleotide ribosomal RNA is filed under the name uncultured bacterium. RNAcentral describes it as "partial 16S ribosomal RNA". It matches the Rfam family "Bacterial small subunit ribosomal RNA", at positions 793 to 1055 of the family's 1533-position model. The record is from RNAcentral.
GUCCACGCCGUAAACGUUGGGCACUAGGUGUGGGUUUCAACCAACGAGAUCCGCGCCGUCGCUAACGCAUUAAGUGCCCCGCCUGGGGAGUACGGCCGCAAGGUUAAAACUCAAAGGAAUUGACGGGGCCCGCACAAGCAGCGGAGCGUGUUGCUUAAUUCGAUGCAACGCGAAGAACCUUACCUGGGCUUGACAUGUACGGAAAAGCCGUAGAGAUGCGGUGUCCUUCGGGGCCGUACACAGGUGGUGCAUGGCUGUCGU